AGAUAGAUACUGGUCAGUUAGAGACAGUAGGACAGAUAGAUACUGGUCAGUUAGAGACAGUAGGAUAGAUAGAUACUGGUCAGUUAGAGACAGUAGGAUAGAUAGAUACUGGUCAGUUAGAGACAGUAGGACAGAUAGAUACUGGUCAGUUAGAGACAGUAGGACAGAUAGAUACUGGUCAGUUAGAGACAGUAGGAUAGAUAGAUACUGGUCAGUUAGAGACAGUAGGAUAGAUACUGGUCAGUUAGAGACAGUAGGAUAGAUAGAUACUGGUCAGUUAGAGACAGUAGGAUAGAUAGAUACUGGUCAGUUAGAGACAG
This is a long non-coding RNA of Oncorhynchus tshawytscha (Chinook salmon), 320 nucleotides long. NCBI's taxonomy places the organism in Eukaryota, Metazoa, Chordata, Actinopteri, Salmoniformes, Salmonidae. The record is from Ensembl.